This 425-nucleotide long non-coding RNA is filed under the name Coccomyxa subellipsoidea. Its description in RNAcentral is "long non-coding RNA (CSUB_LNC000255)". The record is from RNAcentral. Lineage: Eukaryota; Viridiplantae; Chlorophyta; Trebouxiophyceae; Coccomyxaceae.
CGUGCCACCUUGGGCAGAGAGUCCUGUCAAUGAGUGCCAAGGUUGCCGACAGACGUCCACGUCCUGAAGGACACAUCAUGGCUGUCACUGUGCUGGCUCUGUGUACAACUUGUUGCUCUCAAGGUGAUGUGUCCUGCCUCAGGCUCUUGUUACGAAACACUAUCUUAAAGCAGCAGCUGCGCACCGAGGAGGCUGCAGAAGUCCAGAGCAAGCUCCUGCAUGUCUUGCAGAAGCCACUGCUCUACUUCUGAGGAGUCCAGGACACCGUCAAGGAGGCCCUUGAGCAAGUGCCCUUCUUCUGGCAUUGUCAAAUUAACCUGCACAGAUAUAAGGAAACUGUGGUUUUCAGCCUCUUUCUGUGAAGUGGUAUGUCCUUUUGCUGGAUCAAGCAUAGCUUACCUGAUGCUUGAAGGGAGACAAUCUCU